Non-coding RNA from Eubacterium infirmum F0142, 192 nucleotides. NCBI's taxonomy places the organism in Bacteria, Bacillati, Bacillota, Clostridia, Peptostreptococcales, Anaerovoracaceae. The record is from Rfam.
UAGACAAGUUAAUAUUUGCAAUUUAUAAUUAUAGGCUAAUUAAGAGGGGAAAUCGGUGAAAUUCCGGUACGGUCCCGCCACUGUGAUGCCGAUGUGUUUCAGUCAUCUUUGUGAAUUAACAUUGCUAUAUGUAUACACCUAUGAUUGAUUCGAGGCUAAGUCAGGUACUUCUUUGCGAGAAUUGUUUUGACG